Molecule: ribosomal RNA, 464 nt
Filed under: uncultured bacterium
Lineage: Bacteria
Description: partial 16S ribosomal RNA
Rfam family: Bacterial small subunit ribosomal RNA
Source: RNAcentral
CUACGGGGUGCUGCAGUGGGGAAUAUUGCACAAUGGGCGCAAGCCUGAUGCAGCCAUGCCGCGUGUAUGAAGAAGGCCUUCGGGUUGUAAAGUACUUUCAGCGGGGAGGAAGGGAGUAAAGUUAAUACCUUUGCUCAUUGACGUUACCCGCAGAAGAAGCACCGGCUAACUCCGUGCCAGCAGCCGCGGUAAUACGGAGGGUGCAAGCGUUAAUCGGAAUUACUGGGCGUAAAGCGCACGCAGGCGGUUUGUUAAGUCAGAUGUGAAAUCCCCGGGCUCAACCUGGGAACUGCAUCUGAUACUGGCAAGCUUGAGUCUCGUAGAGGGGGGUAGAAUUACAGGUGUAGCGGUGAAAUGCGUAGAGAUCUGGAGGAAUACCGGUGGCGAAGGCGGCCCCCUGGACGAAGACUGACGCUCAGGUGCGAAAGCGUGGGGAGCAAACAGGAUUAGAUACUCUGGUAGUC